Equus asinus (donkey) is the source of this 9204-nucleotide long non-coding RNA. NCBI's taxonomy places the organism in Eukaryota, Metazoa, Chordata, Mammalia, Perissodactyla, Equidae. The record is from Ensembl.
CAACAACAAAGCCCAUGCGUUUUGCAACAUAGGAGAGAAAUGGAACCACCUGCAAACUAGAGCUUAUUUUUCUUUUGUUUUUUUUUUUUGAGGAAGAUUAGCCCUGAGCUAACAUCUGCCGCCAAUCCUCCUCUUUUUGCUGAGGAAGACUGGCCCUGAGCUGACAUCCGUGCCCAUCUUCCUCUACUUUAUAUGUGGGACACCUACCACAGCAUGGCUUGCCACGCGAUGCCAUGUCCACACCCAGGAUCUGAACUAGCAAACCCCGGGCCACCGAAGCAGAACGUGUGAACUUAACCACUGCGCCACUGGGCCGGCCCCUAGAGCUUAUUGACUUGAUAGUGGAUGUAAACUUCAGGUCAGAUUUAGUAAGUUUAAUUACCUGGCUUCCAGGGGCAGAGCAUGGAGGAAGAGUUGAGAUGGAGAAAGAGGACCAAACGUGAAACAGGCCCUUCCCCACUGAUUACAGUCAUUUCUUUUCUUUUUUGCUGAGGAAGAUUCACCCUGAGCUAACAUCUGUGCCAGUCUUCUUUCUAUAUGCAAGCCGCCACCACAGCAGCUGACAAGUGGUGUGGGUCCACACCUGAGAACCAAACCUGGGCUGCCAAAGCAGAGCAGACCAAACCUAACCACUUAAGCUGGCCCUCAGUCAUUUCUUGAGGCCUUGCCAUGGGCACAAAAGCAAGUGAAGACUCCAUUAUUCCAACCUUGCCUGAACUAGGUCAGUCAGCACUUUAAAUGUGCAUAGAAAGAAAAGGCCUAAUAAUAAUAUGUAGUGUUUACAUAUUAUGAAUUUUGGGUCCAAAUCAAGAUUUUUUUCUCCUGUAUUAUAACUUUUCCAAGUUAGAUCAUAAUCUGCUUUGAUUGUUUAGUAACCUAUCUGCAAUCUUUUACUCUCCUAAAAUUCAAUAUACUAACCAAUAGUUAACUAUAUUUUGAUCUUUGUCAGAAAGUAUUGAGUCAUAAAUGACGCCUGCAAAGCACUGGUCAAACCUGUGAGAGGAAUGAUCUCGUCUCUUAAAGGCUCUAGUCUUUGGCAGGUGUAGAAUGGACUACAUUUACCACGCUGAAAAAGCGUUAAUCAGUUUGGGUCAACAAAUGUGUUUCUAUUUUAAGCAAGAUACUGAAUAUUUACUAUAAAAAUGAAGGAAUGUAAUAUUCAUUCGGGACUCGAGGUGCCUGUGGGCAUCAUCUAAAGUAAUGCCUGCAUCAGCUUUAGUGGUCAUUACACUCUCUCCAUCUAACAGGUGGGAAAACUGAGGUUCCAGGAUAGUAAAUUCGUUCAUGCCUGUACUGAAUCCUGUGUGCUUCAUAAUGAGUAAGAUGGCUCCUGCUCUCCGAGUAUUUACAGUAGAAAGUGUCAGAGGUGGGAUUCAAACCAGGUCCGUCUGUUACCAGAGCCUUUGGUCAUUCUCCACUCAAGGGACUGGUAUCUGAUGUAAGUAUAACCCAGCUCUUAAGACUCUCACAGCUCCUGCUAAAAUGGGCCCUUCCAAAGUCCCCCUUAGCUAUUUUGGGCAGUCUUGAGGGCAUCUGGCAUGCAGACCAGACCAAGCCUAGUCAACUCCCGAGCACAUGUUCCCUGCCAGGCACUCACCUUCCUGCUGACUCCUGCUGCCCUGCUGGGCUGUGGUCUCUACCAAGAGGGGAGCCCGCCUCUCCCCAUUCUGUUAGGGCACCAACACAGGGCUGCUCUGUCUCCCAGAAUUUUAGCGAACUCCUCUCAAGUUCCCAUUUGCAGCCUCCCUGCUCUCCACAGGAGUCCAGUGGUAGUCCACAGCAGGGCCAGGGAUGCUGCCCUUGGAAUCAUUCCCCUCUUACCUAAGGCUCCAUCAUCAUGCCAACUUGUCUUUUUUGGUGUCAUAAUGAUAAUGAUAGCUUAUUCUCACGUGGCACUUACUGUGAGCCAGAUACUGUUAUAAGCACUUUACAUGGAGAUUAUCAUGCCUGUGACAUAGAUAUUAUUAACAUCUUCAUUGUACUGAUGAGAAAACUAAGGGUCACAGGUGUAGAAAUUUGCCAAAGGUCACACAGCUAGUAAGUGGUGGGGCAGAAUUCAAAGGCCAACAUCAGCCUCCAGAGUCCGUGCUCUUGACCACAGAGCCCUCACUCUGUGCCAGAGGCUCAUGGCUCGCGCACUCAGGCCCAUCCCUGUCUGAACUCAGUGUGGGACAACCUGAGGCCAAGGCUGGGUACCCACCGCGAAAAGCAAGGUCCCUCCCUGAAGGAAGGUUUCUGGAGUGGCCAAAGGGGCCCGCCCUUAGGGCAGCCAGCCUGGUAGGCUCUGAGCUGCCUCUAUCUAGAUUCUGACACUUCCAGCCAAGGUCACCCACCUGACAGCCAUCAACUCAACAGCAGGGGACUCCAGGCUGACCUUUCCCUUGUCACCAGAUCCACACAACAGUGGUGGUGAGGCAGUCCAGACCACUGUCUUGUUCUCUCACUAGCCACGUCUGCCUUGGCACUUGGACAGAAUUCACAGCAAACAUUGCCAGGCAGAGUGUUGAAAAGUUCAAAUCAAUCAGAAGCCAGGUGUUGUCAAGUGGUGUGAGACAAAUGCCCACCCCCAGCCCCAGUGCCAGGACACAGCCUGAACGGGGAAAACAGAAAGCACUUCUCCAUUUAUUACUGUCUUACAAACAUUGUAAGAACGGCAAGAAUAAAGGUUAGAGGAGCCACCAGCAGCCGUUGCAUGUUCUCUUCGUCCUCAGUCAACAUCUCACCUGGCCGUGUUCUUUACAUGGCAGUAUGACUCAAACCUUCCGUCAAAAUUCAUUAGAAGCAUCAGCUCUGCCCUCCAGCUGUUCUGCUCCAGACUGUCAUCCCUGACAGCUGCUCUACAGGGUAUCACGGCACACACCGCAGUGCAUCCUGAUGUCUGGCUUCCGGGAACUCCAACGUGUCAACAGAAAAGAUGAUCUGAGAUGGGCCUAAUCAGAGAGAGGGGAUCCCAAUGCAGGGCCAUGGAUGCUGAGGUCUAUGUCUGCACAUUUCUCCUGAAAUAUACAAGCCUGCGUCCAGAGAAAAUAGCCCGGUGUUGGAAAAGUUGAAGUCACAAGUUCGAAGAGCUUAAACAAACAAAGAGAAGACAUGAAGUAUGUUUACAAUCCUUUAAUUAAAAACCUAUUUAUAUUUAGCAUAUUUCCAGCCCAAUUUCAUUAAUUGGCCCUUCUAGGAAUUUGGGAGAUUGGAGGACAGAAUAGUGUUUUGUUCGACAGUAAACAAGACCAGCACACGUCAAAAUCUUCUCUGUGCACCAUGUGAACGAAGUAGGAAAGGUGAGAAAGCAAUGGCCAAUGUCUGGAUGACAUAUAAAGACCAAGUCCAACAGUCGUCACACCUACAGACAUUCUACAAACAAACAUGUGAGAAUAUUUUUAACCUUGCCAGUAAUUUUUAAAAUUCUAAAUAAAACUAGUGCAUCAUUUUGUAUAAUAAAUUUAGACAAUAAAAAAUAAAUCCCCAAGUUUCAGAAACCAAGUAUCCAAUACCAGAAACUUCUGUGAUGAACUAUUAUUUCAUAUAUUUCUAGUGGAUAGAAUUUGGCACAAACCUUCCAUGACGGGUCAGAAACCCGAGAAUCAUACUCCAAGAUAGGGGCUUGAGUGCAGGAGGCUUAUAGCGGGGUGAUUUGGGGUCAGUACCUGAGAGGGAAGGAGGAAGCAGGAGUGGGCAGGAGGUGAGUUGGAGCUGCAAUACCAUUGCAACGAGGGUCUCAGGCAAUCCUACAGGGAGCUCUGGGGCUGAGGCUAUCCUUCAGAGUUGUCUCAAAUUGGGGUGUUAGGGACCAGCCCAGUGGCAUAGUGGUUAAGUUCACAUGCUCUGCUUCAGUGGCCCGGGGUUCACCAGUUCAAAUCCUGGGCAUGCACCUACACACAGCUCAUCAAGCCAUGAUAUUGUGGCAUCACACGUACAAAGUAGAGGAAGAUUGGUACAAAUGUUAGCUCAGCAACAAUCUUCCUCAAGCAAAAAGAGGAAGAUUGGCAACAGAUGUUAGCUCAGAGACAAUCUUCCUCACCAAAAAACAAAAUAAAAUAAAAUUGAGGUGUUAAUUGCAGGUUCCCCCUUUGCAUAAGUUUGGGCAAGACAGCUCUCUCCAGCUUAUGGAAAGUCCCAGAAAGGGAAGUCAGCUGACUGUUAUUUGCCACCAACACUCCCACCAGCUCGGGGGAUGAAUGAACUGACCUGGAGGGGGAUCUGGGUGGCACACCAUGGUAUCCUCUGUGGACAACUCCUUACUCCACUUGGAUCCACUUCCUUCGUAUUAUAAACUCUAGGAGAAACUCCUCCAGUAUUCUGUUUGGUUUCUUUUCCUGGGGGAAUCUUACAAGAAGGUUAGGGAGAAAAACUUCCAUCUCUGCCACUGCACUGACCUUGAGGCAGUAACAGACAGUCUUUCUGCCAGGCUUCCACCAUCUGUUCUAGAGUCUCUUCGCCCUCAACCAGCACCUCUGCUGGUCUAGCUGGCUGGGCUGCUGAGGUGAUACAGACAUUUUAUCUCUGGAUAAGAGUGGCCACAGGCCACUGGUCACCAUAAACUUCCCAGGUGGUGUUGCUGCCACAUUUACCAACAAAAUUGGGCAACGGUUACCAAGAGCAACCCAAGUGGAUCACCUGAGUGCCAAAUAUAUUCUUCCCUGCCCCUAUUGUGUAAGAGCAGCUCUACCUCUGCCUGAAGGUCAAGGUCAAUUGUUCAUGCCAGUAUGGUGACUACUUUCCUUGCCUAUUGGUCUCUUGGGACAAGAUCUUUGAAGUAACCGAGCAGGAGCUUAAUCCUAUUAAUUAUCUUAAUAGAACCUUGCUGUGUUCUUUGGUGGACCCAUUCACUCUCUAAGAAACAAGACUAUAAAAUGUCAGAAUCCAGAGUUAAAGAGAAGGGAAGCACAAAUUCUCUAAAGGAGUCACUGGGGCCGAUGAUAAGCAAGGUCGUUUUUACUUCUGCUUCUUGCUUCCUGGGUCUUGAAAACACAGCACCAUCUAAUAUUUAACAAUUUGAGGUAUAUACUACAUCUUAGAGGAUAGCGGUCCAUCUGCACAGGGCAUCCUCUCCAAGAUGGCACCUCAGCUGACCCUUCAACAGAUUGUUCCAGUGCUCUGUCAGUCCAGCAGCCCGUGGGUGGUGGAGUACAUGAUAGGACUGUGGAUACCAUGGUCAUGUGUCCACUGCUCACCUCCUUUGCUGUAUAAUGGGUGUCUUCGUCCAGUGAAAUUUUGUGUGGGAUCCCAUGCCUGUAGAUCAAACUCUUUCUAAGCCCUUGGUUAGCAGUGCUGGUUGAAGUCCUGCAGGCAGAAAAAGCAACCUGUAUUUGGAACAGAAGUCAAACCCAGUGUGGAAAGUCCAUCCACCUGGACCUAUCGCAGAUCGCUUUUCUGUUCUGAGACCCACACAAAGCUGGCAAUUUUAUGUGUCUCCCUGUAAAUGGGUUAAAACAAUAUUCCCAAGUGUGCAAUAAAUGCCCUGCCUCCAAAAAUCUAAGACACCUAUCAGGCAUUGUGUUCCUUCCUGGUGAUGGGAAGUGCGAGAUGCAAUAAUCUGCCCCAAACUUUGAAGAGAAUGUUCCAGCAUGCCUCUGACCCUUAGACUAAAAAUUGCAUUGAUGCUGUAGGCCUCUGAAUCUUCUUAAGGUUUUUCUCCCACCUUCUGGAACACGUUCUAUUAAUUUGUAUUUAUUUUCUGUUCUUGCAUAAAAAAUUACCACAAACGAGCUUAAAACAACACUCAUAUAUUACCUCAUGGUUCUAGAGGUCAGAAGACCUGUAGAAAGUCAAAGUCAAGACGUCAGCUACAUAGCAUCCCAGUUCACCACUGUUAAAAUAUUUAACCAUUCACCACCACCACAUGCCACAGGCUAUCUGUGUUCUACCUACCAUCAGUAGAUUUUACUUACUGCCCAAUUUUUUGCAUAAUACAUUGAACAUAAUGCACUAAGUAGCCACUAUUUGUAUUUACAACUUGCACUUUUCCCUCUAAAAUUAAGAUUUGUGGCCUGCUUCACUGCCAACUAUUCUGUGUGAAUAAAACAGUGAACGAUUUCACAUUUCAAAGGAAUCUCUUUUACUUGCUAUAAACAUGACUGGUCCUCCUUCGGAACUAAUCUCAGUGUACGCUUUCCUAUUUGCACCAUGACUUACAAAGUUAUUAUAUACGAAACGAACAAAAAUCUCCUAGAUCAUGGGUUCUCAGGAAUAAAUAGAACAAAAACUUGUCAAGCAAUUUUCCCUCAUAUAUAAUGUGACAAAUGUUAGGAGCUAUUUAAAACUCUGAAAUCAGUGGUUAUAGAACUACAAAGUAAAAUAUUUACUAUUAUUAUGCACUUGUGAUAGUAAUCGCUCCUUCACAUUAUAUUUCAUUGAUAUUGUGCAAUACACAACAGAACAUUUCAUAAAGGACUUUUACCAGUAACCCUCAAGCAUGGUAUUUAUCAUUAACUUUGUGGCUAAUUUUACAAGCUGCUUGUGAUUUGUGUUAUAAAUACUAUUUUUGUCAUACGUAGUACUACUUUAAAUUUCUUCUUCCAUUUUGGUCUCUUCUUUGCCUUUAGCAACAAAAUUUAUUGGUAUUACACUAGAAAGCAUCAUUUUUGCCUAUCCUUGGAAAGCUGAUUGGUUUGCUUUGGAAGUUAUUUGUGGAGGAAACUGCUAGCAGUGUCCAUUCUCCCAUUCCUCCUUCGUAUUAGAACCUCCAAUACUAGAUGGGCACGAUGCUGCUCAGGUGGAGGACUACCUGCCCACCUCCCUUGCAGCUUGGAUGCUCAGGUAACUAAGUUCUGGUCAGUGAUAUACAUAAAUGUGUUUUUGUAGGACUUCUGGGAACUUUCCUUGAAAGGGAAUGGGUACGCCUAUCCUUACUUCUUGCUGGCUAGAGUAGAUUGUGAUGUGUGGAACACCAGCAGCCAUCUUUGACCAGGAAGUAUUUGUGAGAACAAAAGCCACACAUUGAGAUGGUAGAAUAAAGAGAAAAGAGCCCAGGGCUCUGAUGACACCAUGGGCCCACUAUUCCAACCCUAGACUGCCUGUCCCCAGACUUCUUUGAGAAGGAGGAAUUAAUCUCCCUCUGUUCAAGCCACUGUUAUUUUGGGGUUAAUUUCUUGGAUGCAGCUGAAAUUAUUCCUAGUGAAUAUAUUGUUAUGCUUCGUUUUAAAAAGAUGCAAAUCUGCAAUGUCUUCAUGCCUCUAUUUGGCAAUGUUAUUUUUUUCCAAUUAUUUUAUUGAGGUUAUAUUGGUUUAUAACAUUGUAUAAUUUCAGUUGUACAUUAUUAUAUAUCAGUUUCUGUAUAGACUGAAUUGUGCUCACCACCAAUAGUUUAAUUUUUAUCCAUCAUCAUACAUAUGUGCCCCUUUACCCCUUUCACCCUCCCCCAACCCCUUUCCCCUCUGGUAACCAUUAAUCUGUUCUCUUUAUCCAUCUGUUUGUUUAUCUUCCACACAUGAGUAAAAUCAUAUGGUAUAUGUCUUUGUCUGGAUUAUUUCACUUAGCAUAAUACCCUCAAGGUCCAUCCAUGUUGCUGCAAAUGGGGUGAUUUUGUCUUUUUUAUAGCUGAGUAGUAUUCCAUUGUAUAUAUAGAUCACAUCUCCUUUAUCCAUUCAUCAGUUGAUGGGCACUUGGGUUGCUCCCACGUCUUGGCUAUUGUGAAUAAUGCUGCAGUGAACAUAGGGGUGCAUAAAUCUCUUUGAAUUAUUGAUUUCAUGUUCUUUGGAUAAAUACCAAAAGUAGUGGGAUAGCUGGGUCAUAUGGUAGUUUUCUAUUUUUAAUUUUUUGAGAAAUCUUCACAUUGUUUUCCAUAGUGACUGCACCAGUUUGUAUUUCCACCAGCAGUGUAUGAGGCUUCCCUUUUCUGUAUAUCCUCUCCAACAUUUUUAUUUUUUGUCUUGGUAAUUAUAGCUAUUCUGACAGGUGUGAGGCAAUCUCUCAUUGUAGUUUUGAUUUGCAAUUUCCCAAUAAUUAGUGAUGAACAUCUUUUCAUGUGCCUAUUGGCCAUCUGCAUAUUUUCUUUGGAAAAAUGUCUGUUCAUAUUGUCUUCCCAUCUUUUGAUUGGGUUGUUUGUUUUUUUGUUGUUGAGUUGUAUGUGUUUUUUAUAUAUUUUGGAAAUUAACCCCUUGUCAGAUACACAUGGUACUGGCAUAAAGACAGACACACAGGUCAAUGGAACAGAAUCAAAAGCCCAGAAAUAAAACCACAAAUCUAUGGAUGGCUACUCUUCAGCAAAGGAGCCAAGAACAUACAAUGGAGAAAGGAAAGUCUCUUCACUAAGUGGUGUUGGGAAAACUGGACAGCAACAUGCAAAAGAAUGAAAGUAGACCAUUAUCUUACCUCAUACACAAAAAUUAUCUCAAAAUGGAUUAAAGACUUAAAUGUAAGACCUGAAACCAUAAAACUCCUAGAAGAAAAUAUAGGCAGUACAUUCUUUGACAUCGAUCUUAGCAGCAUCUUUUCGAAUACCACGUCUACUCAGGCAAGGGAAACAAAAGAAAACAUAAACAAAUGGGACUAUAUCAGACUAAAAAGCUUCUUCAAGGCAAAGGAAAUCAUGAACAAAAUGAAAAGACAACCCACCAAUUGGGAGAAAACAUUGACAACAUUUUUCAAUGGAUAAUACACCAAGUAUUAGGGAAAAUUAAGUUGUCAAUCCAGUAACACUCAAAUUUCAGACAUUUGUUGUUUUGCUUUCUAAUAAUACCUUUUAUCUUGUGCAAAAUCAUUGUUCCCGUGGGUUUUCCUGUCCUAGUUAAGGAAGUUCACAGUGUAUGUUGAUUAUAUUCACAUUCUCUAUUGAGAAGGUCUGUUCAUAUAUUCUGAGUUAUAGUAUUGAUAUGACUAUUGUUAUCAUUGUAUUUAUACUCUGAUAAAUACUUUUAAGCCUUUUAAUCCUCUUGUAUCAUUCAAGAUAUUAUGCAACAGCCAAAAUCAAAAAUAACAAACAUAAACAAUAACACUAAAUAAAAUGCAAUGGUAGAGAGAGGUUGGGGGAAAAUACUCAGUUUGCCAGAUUUUCCAUUCACAUGGUUUGUAAUGGCCUCAUGCCCAGUUUAGGUGUGAGGUGGACAGAGAGUGUGACAGCUGUAAAGUAGAAAGCUCCUGGUCUGAGAGCACGAAGGUAUGCACACGUAUAUAAUAUACAUAACACGUAUAUAAUAUAAGCUCACUUCUGUUAACUACUUCAGAUGACGACAAAGAAUGACAUUGAUUAAAAUGUUGAUCACAAAU